This 525-nucleotide ribosomal RNA is filed under the name uncultured bacterium. RNAcentral describes it as "bacterial SSU rRNA". It matches the Rfam family "Bacterial small subunit ribosomal RNA", at positions 355 to 893 of the family's 1533-position model. The record is from RNAcentral.
UGGGGAAUCUUGCGCAAUGGGCGAAAGCCUGACGCAGCAACGCCGCGUGAGGGACGAAGGCCUUCUGGGUUGUAAACCUCUUUCAGCAGGGACGAUGAUGACGGUACCUGCAGAAGAAGCCCCGGCCAACUACGUGCCAGCAGCCGCGGUAAUACGUAGGGGGCGAGCGUUGUCCGGAUUCAUUGGGCGUAAAGAGCUCGUAGGCGGCUUGGCAAGUCGGGUGUGAAACCUCCAGGCUCAACCUGGAGCCGCCACUCGAUACUGCCAUGGCUAGAGUCCGGUAGGGGACCACGGAAUUCCUGGUGUAGCGGUGAAAUGCGCAGAUAUCAGGAGGAACACCAGUGGCGAAGGCGGUGGUCUGGGCCGGAACUGACGCUGAGGAGCGAAAGCGUGGGGAGCGAACAGGAUUAGAUACCCUGGUAGUCCACGCCGUAAACGUUGGGCACUAGGUGUGGGGACCUAUCGACGGUUUCCGUGCCGCAGCUAACGCAUUAAGCAUCCCGCCUGGGGAGUACGGUCGCAAGA